GGGAGAGCCACAGGAACCAGCCCUGCCACAAAGAAUCCACAGAGCCCCUCAGCAUCAAGCACGGCUGCCCAGGGUCCCUAUCCUCUGCUGACCCAGUGCCAGGCCUGAGGGAUCCACCCAGGAGCUGAUAGGGACCUGCCUCUAUGGAACUCACGCCCAGCAUCUUCUACACUCAUGUCCAUCCUUUUACCUUUCAAGGACCCUGGAUUCCUCUACUGUCUUUCAAGGCCACGGGAGUAGAAGAAUGGAUAGGACUUGAGGAUGGUGGCAGAAAGAUAAAAGAAUACUGAGGUGCCAAGAGGUCCAGAGGGUUUCCCAAGACCACCCAGUGGGAAGUAACAAAACCAAGGUUAGAAGCAGAGCCUUUUUGUACUUAUUCAGAGUCCUUUUCUUGAGGUUGUGGUUCUCAACCUGGGCAAUGCUUCAGAAUCACCUGCAGAGCUUCUAAACCCCACCAGGCCCCCAGAGACUGCCACCCAGUUCUGGUGGUGACCCUUACAGGACGUUUUUGAAGACUCCUGGUUAUGCUCACAGGUAGGGGACAUCUCGGGCAUCUAAUUAGGCUUGCAUCCCCUCUGCGUGAAUGUGGAUUCCAGUCUCCUCCCUGCUCAAGGUCUAUCUCUGCAUCUACCUCCCAGAAGACUUACUAUCCGGGAGGAUCGGCAGCUCUAUUUCUUCUGCUUUCACCCACCCCUGCCAGACUGUGGAGGUUUAGAAAGUUCCUCAGCUCAGCCUGGUGAGUGCAGAGACUAUCGGCUCCGGGGCCCACCAUUGGGGCCACCGGACAUGGGGUUGACUGUGUUGUCUUGGCAAGCAGGAAGGAGGAGAAGCAGCCCCACCUGGCCCCGUCAGCCAGGAGAAGGCCAAGGGGGUGAGGAGUAGCCCUGAGUGACCUAGGCUGAGAGGAAAGAGGGAAAGAGAUGGAAAGAAAAGAAAGGAGAAGAGGAGGAGAGCCAACCCCUUGGAAGAUUAUUUCAAGCCGCUCUGUGCUGAAACCACCUCACCCGGCCACUGCAGGAGAGGUGACCUGGCACAGCAUUCAGGAGCACAGACACGGCGGUGGCCUGUCUGAGCUCUAAUCCAGGUUCUGCUUAUGAGUAGCAUGACUUGGCUCCAGGAGGAAGGAAAUUACCCUUCAAAAUCCAGAGCAGAACGGUGCCUAGCUGACUCAGUCAGGAGAACAUGAAGCUCUUAAUCUCAGGGUUGUGAGUUCAAGCCCUACCCUGUGCCUCCAUUUCCUUAUCAUUAAAAUACCGAUUAUAGCGGUGCCUGGGUGGCUCAGUCAUUGGGCGCCUGUCUUAGGCUCUGGUCACGAUCCCAGGGUCCUUGGAUCAAGCUCUGCUUCAGGCUCCCUGCUCAGUGGGAGGCCUGCUUCUCCCUCUCCCACUCCCCCUGCUUGUGUUCCCUCUCUCGCUGUGUC
Molecule: long non-coding RNA, 1420 nt
Organism: Mustela lutreola (European mink)
Lineage: Eukaryota; Metazoa; Chordata; Mammalia; Carnivora; Mustelidae
Exons: 4
Source: RefSeq, a predicted model, not a curated record